CCUACGGGAGGCAGCAGUGGGGAAUAUUGGGCAAUGGAGGAAACUCUGACCCAGCAACGCCGCGUGAAUGAUGAAGGUCUUCGGAUUGUAAAGUUCUUUUCUAAGGGAAGAAGAAAGUGACGGUACCUUAGGAAUAAGCCUCGGCUAACUACGUGCCAGCAGCCGCGGUAAUACGUAGGAGGCAAGCGUUAUCCGGAAUGACUGGGCGUAAAGGGUGCGUAGGUGGUUCAGCAAGUUAGUAGCGUAAUUCCGGAGCUCAACUUCGGCACUACUACUAAAACUGUUGGACUUGAGUGCAGGAGGGGCAACUGGAAUUUCUAGGGUAGCGGUGGAAUGCGUAGAUAUUAGGAAGAACACCGGUGGCGAAGGCGAGUUGCUGGACUGUAACUGACACUGAGGCACGAAAGCGUGGGGAGCAAACAGGAGUAGAUACCCUAGUAGUC
This 443-nucleotide ribosomal RNA is filed under the name uncultured bacterium. RNAcentral describes it as "partial 16S ribosomal RNA". It matches the Rfam family "Bacterial small subunit ribosomal RNA", at positions 338 to 795 of the family's 1533-position model. The record is from RNAcentral.